UCCAGUCUGCUCACUGAUAAUUUAAAGAGCCGCAGUAUAUUGACUGUGCAAAGGUAGCAUAAUCAAUAGUUUUUUAAUUGAAAACUUGUAUGAAAGAUUAGACGAGAAAUCUAUUUUCUUUAUUUUAUAUAAUUAAAUUUUAAUUUUAAGUGAAAAUGCUUAAUUAAAUUUAAAAGACGAGAAGACCCUAUAGAUUUUUAUUAUUUAAAUAAAUUUAAUAAAAAAAUUUAGUAAAAUAAUUUCAUUGGGGUGAUUUUGUAAUAAAAUAAACUUAAUUUUUUUUUAACCAAAAAUAAUUGAAACUUUUGAUCUAAAAUUUUUAAAGAAAAGAUUAAAUUACCUUAGGGAUAACAGCGUAAUUUUUUUUAAGAGUUCAUAUCUAUAAAAAAGUUUGCGACCUCGAUGUUGAAUUAAGAUAAUAUAUUGAAGUAG
This 432-nucleotide ribosomal RNA is filed under the name Trichadenotecnum furcalingum. RNAcentral's name for it is "partial 16S ribosomal RNA". The record is from RNAcentral. Lineage: Eukaryota; Metazoa; Arthropoda; Insecta; Psocodea; Psocidae.